This 75-nucleotide antisense RNA is filed under the name Streptomyces yokosukanensis. RNAcentral describes it as "ASpks TB sRNA". It matches the Rfam family "ASpks TB sRNA". The record is from Rfam by way of RNAcentral. Lineage: Bacteria; Bacillati; Actinomycetota; Actinomycetes; Kitasatosporales; Streptomycetaceae.
CUUCAGGGAGCCCAGCCGGAGCGGCCUGCCCUCGGCCCGGUCCUGCCCGUAGGUCGCGAGCAGCGCGUCCGCCUC